ACCUUGCAGUCUUUGACAACAUUGUAUGUCUCUCUCUCUCCCCUCCCUCCCACCUAACUUUCAAGUCUCAAUCUCCUCUUUCUUUUCUCUUUUAAUAAUGGCAUAAAGAAACAUUAAUUCAUAUUUGCAGAAAAUGGGAUAAUGCUAUGUCUGUAUUCUUUUUGGUGUUUAAUUCAAACCAUGCUAGAAUAUCCUACACCUGUAAGCAAGAGAGGAAGAAUCCAAAUACAAAAAUGGAAUAUGAAAUACAAAUUAAAAUAGGA
This 263-nucleotide unclassified non-coding RNA is filed under the name Hevea brasiliensis (rubber tree). Lineage: Eukaryota; Viridiplantae; Streptophyta; Magnoliopsida; Malpighiales; Euphorbiaceae. The record is from RNAcentral.